RNAcentral lists this unclassified non-coding RNA (241 nucleotides) under Melitaea cinxia (Glanville fritillary). RNAcentral's name for it is "misc RNA ENSMCXG00005010455.1". The record is from RNAcentral. Lineage: Eukaryota; Metazoa; Arthropoda; Insecta; Lepidoptera; Nymphalidae.
UUUGACUUCCAUAUUGCUUUCAUAGUGAUAUAGCAACCUACUGAAAGGUUUUCCGUCAACCGAGAAUUCAUCACUACUGCGACGUAAAAUUCACAAAACCUUCUUGUAAUUAUCCACAAAAAAACAAAGAAUGAAACACCUGGACACAAAACUAUAUCAUUUUUCUAAUUUCUACUUGUUAGUACUACUAACUUAAUAUAUAAUUAUUAUUCUCAGUGACUGUCCACUCGGGGCCGAAACC